GGCAAUGAAUGCCAUCGCGUGCGAAGGUGCUGAGAGAAUUGAGAGACCAGAAACAUACAAGCAAUGGCAAGUUAGAAUUCUGAAGGCUGGUUUUCGGCAGCUUCCUUUGGAUGAGGAGAUUAUGAGAAUGACAACAGAACGAUUCAAGGUGUACGACAAGAAUUUCAUUAUUGACGUAGAUAGUGAAUGGCUACUGCAGGGCUGGAAGGGUCGUAUUGCAUCUGCACUUUCAAUGUGGAAGGCAGCAUAUUGAAUUUGUUCUCAUUCAAGGAGCACAUUCAGCAGCCAUGAUACCCCUCUGCCCCUUUAAACAACGAGCUCAUGAACGGUACUCACUUUACCAAGUGCUACUUAUUGAUUUGGUCAUUUCUUUAGUGUUAAUUUA
Molecule: unclassified non-coding RNA, 385 nt
Filed under: Hevea brasiliensis (rubber tree)
Lineage: Eukaryota; Viridiplantae; Streptophyta; Magnoliopsida; Malpighiales; Euphorbiaceae
Source: RNAcentral